This is a regulatory RNA element of Staphylococcus sp. HGB0015, 133 nucleotides long. It matches the Rfam family "FMN riboswitch aptamer (RFN element)". From Rfam's summary of the family: The RFN element is a highly conserved domain that is found frequently in the 5'-untranslated regions of prokaryotic mRNAs that encode for flavin mononucleotide (FMN) biosynthesis and transport proteins. This element is a metabolite-dependent riboswitch that directly binds FMN in the absence of proteins. In Bacillus subtilis, the riboswitch most likely controls gene expression by causing premature transcription termination within the 5' untranslated region of the ribDEAHT operon and precluding access to the ribosome-binding site of ypaA mRNA. The record is from Rfam. NCBI's taxonomy places the organism in Bacteria, Bacillati, Bacillota, Bacilli, Caryophanales, Staphylococcaceae.
AUAUUCUUUCGGGGCUGGGUGAAAUUCCCAACCGGCAGUAAAUUAAAGCCUGCGACCCAUAUUGCAAAGCGAUAUGGCUGAUCUAGUGAGAAUCUAGAGCCGACAGUUAGAGUCUGGAUGGGAGGAAGAAUAG